CUUUUUUUUUUUUUUUUUUCGAUGGCCUGCAAUUUAGUUUUCACUUAGUCGAGUGUAACUUUUGUUUUUCUUUUAAAACCAAACUUUGUUGUGGUGUGAGUGUGUUUGAGGUCUACUCACGAUAUAUCAAAGACUUAAUGGUUGAAUGGUUAGAUGAUUGAAUGGUUAAAUGACUGAAUGACUAAGGGAUCGGAAGAGGUUCUGCUUGUAGACCACAGUGCUUGUCUUUGGACGAAAGUUUUCUUAGCAGUAUACAAGAGAUAACUUUUGUGAACGAAGAGCUAUAUUAAGAUCUGCAGCAAUAGUUGCUCCCCUUUCAGGAAGUGAGACAUGAACAGAGCGGACUUACAAAGUGUGUGUAGAUCUUUUCUCGUUUCAAUGUCUUUUUGUUUUUUGUUUCCAACUGCCCCACAUACUGGGUGGUCUUGACCUAAGUCUGCAUGAGCUUUUGUGUAUAAAUAUUUAUAUAACUAUAUUAUGCAUAUACAUAUGUUUGUAAUCUAUUGUUUGUAGAAGAAAAAAAUAGCUGUUAUACGAUUGGCUUAUCCAUGUGUCACUGAAAUACGAUUGGCUCAUCCGUGUGUCACUGAAAGACGAUUGGCUCAUCCGUGUGUCACUGAAAGACGAUUGGCUGAUCCAUGUGUCA
Molecule: non-coding RNA, 646 nt
Organism: Biomphalaria pfeifferi
Lineage: Eukaryota; Metazoa; Mollusca; Gastropoda; Planorbidae
Source: the annotation of a GenBank genome assembly